UACGUAGGGCGCAAGCGUUGUCCGGAAUUAUUGGGCGUAAAGAGCUCGUAGGCGGUUUGUCGCGUCUGCUGUGAAAACCCGAGGCUCAACCUCGGGCCUGCAGUGGGUACGGGCAGACUAGAGUGCGGUAGGGGAGACUGGAAUUCCUGGUGUAGCGGUGGAAUGCGCAGAUAUCAGGAGGAACACCGAUGGCGAAGGCAGGUCUCUGGGCCGCAACUGACGCUGAGGAGCGAAAGCAUGGGGAGCGAACAGGAUUAGAAACCCCCGUAGUCC
RNAcentral lists this ribosomal RNA (273 nucleotides) under uncultured bacterium. Its description in RNAcentral is "partial 16S ribosomal RNA". It matches the Rfam family "Bacterial small subunit ribosomal RNA", at positions 524 to 796 of the family's 1533-position model. The record is from RNAcentral.